This 76-nucleotide transfer RNA is filed under the name Xylella taiwanensis. RNAcentral's name for it is "tRNA-Thr". It matches the Rfam family "tRNA". From Rfam's summary of the family: Transfer RNA (tRNA) molecules are approximately 80 nucleotides in length. Their secondary structure includes four short double-helical elements and three loops (D, anti-codon, and T loops). The record is from RNAcentral. Lineage: Bacteria; Pseudomonadati; Pseudomonadota; Gammaproteobacteria; Lysobacterales; Lysobacteraceae.
GCCGCUUUAGCUCAGUUGGCAGAGCAACUGAUUUGUAAUCAGUAGGUCGUCCGUUCGAAUCGGACAAGCGGCACCA